GGCGGAGGGAUCAUUACCGAGUUUACAACUCCCAAACCCAAUGUGAACGUUACCAAACUGUUGCCUCGGCGGGAUCUCUGCCCCGGGUGCGUCGCAGCCCCGGACCAAGGCGCCCGCCGGAGGACCAACCAAAACUCUUAUUGUAUACCCCCUCGCGGGUUUUUUUAUAAUCUGAGCCUUCUCGGCGCCUCUCGUAGGCGUUUCGAAAAUGAAUCAAAACUUUCAACAACGGAUCUCUUGGUUCUGGCAUCGAUGAAGAACGCAGCGAAAUGCGAUAAGUAAUGUGAAUUGCAGAAUUCAGUGAAUCAUCGAAUCUUUGAACGCACAUUGCGCCCGCCAGUAUUCUGGCGGGCAUGCCUGUCCGAGCGUCAUUUCAACCCUCGAACCCCUCCGGGGGGUCGGCGUUGGGGAUCGGCCCUCCCUUAGCGGGUGGCCGUCUCCGAAAUACAGUGGCGGUCUCGCCGCAGCCUCUCCUGCGCAGUAGUUUGCACACUCGCAUCGGGAGCGCGGCGCGUCCACAGCCGUUAAACACCCAACUUCUGAAAUGUUGACCUCGGAUCAGGUAGGAAUU
This 571-nucleotide unclassified non-coding RNA is filed under the name Trichoderma harzianum. RNAcentral's name for it is "sequence contains 18S rRNA gene, ITS1, 5.8S rRNA gene, ITS2". The stretch from base 218 to 371 matches the Rfam family "5.8S ribosomal RNA". The record is from RNAcentral. Lineage: Eukaryota; Fungi; Ascomycota; Sordariomycetes; Hypocreales; Hypocreaceae.